GUCUUCUCAGUGACCCUGUAUGAUAGCACUCAAGAAAGUGAGGCUCAGAGAGGUGAAGUAGUUUGACCAAGGUCACACAGCUAAUAAAUGCUGGAGGCAUAUGUCAGUCCAAGUCUACAUGUGUUCCCUAAGCUUUUUUCCAGGGGCCUCAUAUCUAAACAAGGCUUUCACAGAGGUUUUCAGAAGAUGCUGUACACAUGUGAUCCUAAUGAUUCUAAUGAUAACAACCCACCUGCACCAGUUAGCAAUGACGUUUGGUGGAGAAAUCAGAGGAGGGCAAGCUGGAGCUCCGUGUGGCAGUCCUCCAAAUCAUGAGGAACCCAGGUUAUGCCUAGACUUCCGCUCUACCGUCUUCAUGCUCCUGCUUACACUGGCCGCUGCAGUGCCAAACAUCACACCCAUGUUCUAGACAAGAAGGAGGAAGCACAAACAGCAAAAGAAACACACUGCCUGAGGUGUCCUUAUAAGAGGAGGAAAUGAGGACACAGACACACACGGAGGGACAACCACGUGAGGACACAGGGAGAAGAUGGCCAUCUACGAGCCCAGGAGAGAGGCCUCAGGAGAAACCAGCCCUGCCGACACCUCGAUCUGAGACUUCCAGCCUCCGGAACUGUGAGAAAUAGACAUUGCGUAAGCUGCGCGGUCUGUGGGAUCUGUUACAGCAGCCCUAGCAGACUAAAUGUAUGUUCUUUCACAGAAGCAACCAAGAACGAUCCAGCCUAUA
This 727-nucleotide long non-coding RNA is filed under the name Equus caballus (horse). RNAcentral's name for it is "lncRNA (ENSECAG00000043415.2)". Lineage: Eukaryota; Metazoa; Chordata; Mammalia; Perissodactyla; Equidae. The record is from RNAcentral.